GCUGUGUGCAGGGAACCAGCUUCCGGGGUGGUUCAGCAAGGCUGACGAUCACCACCGUGCGUUGAGAGUCCAUUGCCGGUAGGACUCAGCAGGGUGUAUUCUUCUUGAACUUCAGCACCAAUGGCCUGUCAGUUUUUGUCACCUGGUAUGUGACUGGAUCAUUCUGGUCUGCGGGCUUCAAUCUCGUCCAGUGGAUCCAGGAUCUUCCUUCUAAGGACUUAACUGCAAGAGAAUGGUUUGCAAUGCAUGGGAUGUGAAGACUGCUACUUCAGAGGUGAAAGUCAGUUUGUUGACAUCAGAAGACUAUUCCAGCUGCCAAAGAAGGUAUGCAACCCAGUGGCUUCUUAAAGCCAAACACGUUAAGAAUGCAACUCAUGUGUUUUUCUAUCCUUUAACAAUUCUACCUUUCUAAUAAAAGAAUAAACUGAAAUUACUGCCAAAGGUAACAAUAAAGAUGAACAAACCUCUGCUGAAUAUAUGACAGGAAAUGAACUAUAUAUGAAAAGUAUGUAUUGGAUUGGAAAUACUAAUCCUUGUUCAUAUUGAUACAAUUAAAGCAAAAUAAUUAUAA
Long non-coding RNA from Pantherophis guttatus, 571 nucleotides. RefSeq lists it as uncharacterized. NCBI's taxonomy places the organism in Eukaryota, Metazoa, Chordata, Lepidosauria, Squamata, Colubridae. The record is from RefSeq and is a predicted model, not a curated record.